AAAGUCGUAACAAGGUCUCCGUAGGUGAACCUGCGGAGGGAUCAUCAAAGGAAUUUUAGCAUGUACCUUUACGGUACACAAACAAACGAUCGCAACUACAUAUUUUACGUGGGGGGUUAUAAAAGUGCUUGCCUGAUAAAAAACAUUGGAUUGGAAAAAAGAAAUACAACUUUCAACAACGGAUCUCUUGGCUCUC
This 196-nucleotide unclassified non-coding RNA is filed under the name Basidiomycota sp. RNAcentral's name for it is "partial contains small subunit ribosomal RNA, internal transcribed spacer 1, and 5.8S ribosomal RNA". The stretch from base 1 to 47 matches the Rfam family "Eukaryotic small subunit ribosomal RNA", at positions 1785 to 1831 of the family's 1831-position model. Lineage: Eukaryota; Fungi; Basidiomycota. The record is from RNAcentral.